Molecule: ribosomal RNA, 440 nt
Filed under: uncultured bacterium
Lineage: Bacteria
Description: partial 16S ribosomal RNA
Rfam family: Bacterial small subunit ribosomal RNA
Source: RNAcentral
CCUACGGGAGGCAGCAGUGGGGGAUAUUGCACAAUGGGGGGAACCCUGAUGCAGCGACGCCGCGUGGGUGAAGAAGCGCCUCGGCGCGUAAAGCCCUGUCAGUAGGGAAGAAAAUGACGGUACCUGAAGAAGAAGCUCCGGCUAACUACGUGCCAGCAGCCGCGGUAAUACGUAGGGGGCAAGCGUUAUCCGGAUUUACCGGGCGUACAGGGGGCGCAGACGGGGUUGCAAGCCAGUAGUGAAAGCCCGAGGCCCAACCCCGGGACUGCUCUUGAAACUGGGUGGCUGGAGUGCAGUCGGGGUAGGCGGAAUUCCUGGUGUAGCGGUGAAAUGCGUAGAUAUCAGGAAGAACACCGAUGGCGAAGGCAGCCUACUAAACUGCAACUGACAUUGAGGCCCGAAAGCGUGGGGAGCAAACAGGAUUAGAUACCCCAGUAGUC